GCGGGAAUUCGAUUAGAGUUUGAUCCUGGCUCAGAACGAACGCUGGCGGCAUGCCUAACACAUGCAAGUCGAACGAACCCUUCGGGGUUAGUGGCGCACGGGUGCGUAACGCGUGGGAAUCUGCCCUUGGCUUCGGAAUAACAGUUAGAAAUGACUGCUAAUACCGGAUGAUGUCUUCGGACCAAAGAUUUAUCGGCCAGGGAUGAGCCCGCGUAGGAUUAGGUAGUUGGUGGGGUAAAGGCCUACCAAGCCGACGAUCCUUAGCUGGUCUGAGAGGAUGAUCAGCCACACUGGGACUGAGACACGGCCCAGACUCCUACGGGAGGCAGCAGUGGGGAAUAUUGGACAAUGGGCGCAAGCCUGAUCCAGCAAUGCCGCGUGAGUGAUGAAGGCCUUAGGGUCGUAAAGCUCUUUUACCCGGGAUGAUAAUGACAGUACCGGGAGAAUAAGCUCCGGCUAACUCCGUGCCAGCAGCCGCGGUAAUACGAAUCACUAGUGAAUUCGCGGCCGCCUGCAGGUCGACCAUAUGGGAGAGCUCCCAACGCGU
RNAcentral lists this ribosomal RNA (547 nucleotides) under uncultured Alphaproteobacteria bacterium. RNAcentral's name for it is "bacterial SSU rRNA". It matches the Rfam family "Bacterial small subunit ribosomal RNA", at positions 1 to 604 of the family's 1533-position model. Lineage: Bacteria; Pseudomonadati; Pseudomonadota; Alphaproteobacteria. The record is from RNAcentral.